This is a non-coding RNA of Microcebus murinus (gray mouse lemur), 3453 nucleotides long. The record is from RefSeq and is a predicted model, not a curated record. Lineage: Eukaryota; Metazoa; Chordata; Mammalia; Primates; Cheirogaleidae.
ACAGGCGUGAGCCACCUCACCUGGCUGUUAAUUUUUCUUUAAAAAUGUAUCUUAUGCUUAUGAAAUUUGUUUUCUAUGAGCCAAAUCGAUCUGUAGUACCUAACCUUGAUAAGAAGGUAAGAAAUUUCAACAAGCUAUGAUUUUGGGGGUGUAAAAAAAAAAAUAAAAAAAAAAAAAAUAAAAAUAAAAAAAAAAAAGAAGGUAAGAAUUUUCUAAGCAUAUAGUGUAAAAUUUUGUUUCAGUGUUUUGCUACACUAUUUGAAGAGAUCUUUUAAAAUUUAUAUAUGGGGGAAAUGCAGGCUUUUCACACAAAAGGAAAAUAAAAGUAAUUUUGAACAUUAUAAUUUAAAUUUUAUGAUAGAAUUUGUAUGACAUGAAAAAUAAGCAAAAUUAAAAUACACUUUAAUUAAAAAUAUGUUUUAACCAAGGAAAUAGAACACAUAUUCUAUGUGAUGGAUUUUUAUUAGAAUUUCAAUGUUUUAUUCCAGAGAUGUAAUAUUAUUUUAAAUUCCUCAAAAGGUCAUUUAAAAAGUUAGCAUACGUCUUUCUAAACAUAAGAUUUAAAAGCCUGUUUCGAGCGCGGUUCUGCGUCUCCAGCUGAUGCACCUGCUCGGUCGGUCGUUGAGGCCCUGCCGACCCUGCCGCUGCUCCUCGCUGGGGCGGAGGAUCCUGUACUCGCCGGAGCCCGGCGUUAGGCCGGGCCCAGGCCAAGCGUCGAGGCCGAGGAGCAGGCGGCUGAGGAGGCCAAUUGCAGCGGGACAGCGACCGGGAGCGGAAGCUGCCCGAGCCACCGGCCCCAGAAGGGCGCGCGGACAGGCGAGAGCCAUCCCCGAACACCUUGCGGUAGGAGGAGGCGGGGCACAGGUAGUGCUCCGAGCCGAAGCUCAUGGUGCUGGGAGCAGGGCCCGGUGUGCGGCUGCUGCUGGAGCUACAGAAGAAAGGAGAGAAUUCAGCCAUAUAAUUAAAAUGACAGCCUCCUGGAGUGAUCGGUUGCAGAAUGCAGCAGAUCUGCCUGCUGGCAUGGGUAAGCAUGCUUUGAAAAAGUACCGUCGAGAAGCCUAUCAUCGGGUGUUUGUGAACAGAUUUUAGCCAUGGAGAAAAUAAAGUGUUUUGGUUUUGAUAUGGAUUACACCCUUGCUGUGUACAAGUCCCCAGAGUAUGAAUCCCUUGGCUUUGAGCUUACUGUGGAAAGAUUAGUUUCUAUUGGCUAUCCCCAGGAGCUACUCAGUUUUGCUUAUGAGUCUACAUUCCCUACCAGGGGGCUUGUCUUUGACACACUAUAUGGAAAUCUUUUGAAAGUUGAUGCCUAUGGAAACCUCUUGGUCUGUGCACAUGGAUUUAACUUCAUAAGGGGACCAGAAACUAGAAAGCAAUAUCCAAAUAAAUUUAUCCAACGAGAUGACACUGAAAGAUUUUACAUUCUGAACACAUUAUUCAACCUACCAGAGACCUACCUGUUGGCCUGCCUAGUAGAUUUUUUUACUAAUUGUCCCAGAUAUACCAGCUGUGAAACAGGAUUUAAAGAUGGGGACCCCUUCAUGUCCUACCAGAGUAUGUUCAGGAUGUAAGAGAUGCUGUUGACUGGGUUCAUUAUAAGGGCUCCCUUAAGGAGAAGACAGUUGAAAAUCUUGAGAAGUAUGUAGUCAAAGAUGGAAAACUGCCUUUGCUUCUGAGCCGGAUGAAAGAAGUAGGGAAAGUGUUUCUUGCCUCCAACAGUGACUGUAUAUAUACAGAUAAAAUUAUGAUUUACCUGUUCGAUUUCCCACAUGGCCCCAAGCCUGAGAGCUCCCACCGACCAUGGCAGUCCUACUUUGACCUGAUCUUGGUGGAUGCACGGAAACCACUCUUUUUUGGAGAAGGCACAGUACUGCGUCAAGUGGAUACCAAAACUGGCGAGCUGAAAAUUGGUACCUACACAGGCCCCUACAGCAUGACAUCGUCCACUCAGGAGGUUCAUCUGAUACAAUCUGUGAUCUGUUCGGAGCCAAGGGAAAAGACAUUUUGUAUAUUGGAGACCAUAUUUUUGGUGACAUUUUAAAAUCAAAGAAACGCCAAGGGUGGUGAACUUUCUUGGUUCUUCCUGAACUUGCACAGGAGCUGCAUGUCUGGACUGAUAGGAGUUCACUUUUUGAAGAGCUUCAGAACUUGGAUAUCUUCUUGGCUGAACUCUGCAAGCACCUUGACAGCAGUAGCAGUGAGCGCCCAGACAUUAGUUCCAUCCAGAAACGUAUUAAGAAAGUAACUCAUGACAUGGACAUGUGCUAUGGGAUGAUGGGAAGCCUGUUUCGCAGUGGCUCGCGGCAGACUCUCUUUGCCAGUCAAGUGAUGUGUUAUGCUGACCUGUAUGCAGCCUCUUUCAUCAACCUGCUGUAUUACCCAUUCAGCUACCUCUUCAGAGCUGCUCAUGUCUUGAUGCCUCAUGAAUCAACAGUGGAACAUACACAUGUAGCUAUCAACGAGAUGGAGUCUCCCCUCGCCACCCGGAUCCACACAUCAGUGGAGUUCAAAGACACCGACUGUAAGCAGUAUCAGCUGACUUGGUCGAUUAGUGAGAUUAAACCCCCCAACCUCUUCCCACUGGUCCCCCAGGAAGUUAUACACUGCCAUGAUGAAGAUGAUGAUGAAGAAGAGAAAGAAUAAAGAGGAAAACCAAAACCCUGAGCCCCCAUUAAACAAGUUCUGGCAAGACUUACAAGGAGCAAAGGAUGCCCCUGUUUGGGUUCUACUGGGGUACAGGGGCAGGAGGAUUUUAUCAAAGGUACGCCUGGAAAGUUUCUGAAGACUUUAAAAUAGUCUAAUCAUAGAGGGAUACCUGUUGUAGUUUUGUGUAUCUGUAUUCUUUGCAGAUGGUUCAAAAUUGUAAUGGAGUCUAUUAUGGAAGAAAGAGUAAAAAUCAGGCUGAACUGCAUGCAGAUGGCUCCAUUGUGGCGUGUGCCACUGUUUCCUUGUCUUUUUUCACCAGUAUGUCAUAUACUAACGGGGUGAAGGGUCUCAGAGUAGAACAAGAAGGACGAUGGGAAGACGUGACCCAAAAUGCUGUAAUGUUACAAAUUGUGCUAUAACUCCAAAAUCUAACUUUUUCAGUGCAUUACACAGUAUUAUAUCUCAGUGGAGAAAUAUAUUGUUUCCAUUAUCAAAUGUAGUCUGCUGUUAAGGUCAAGUUUCCUUUUAUAUGCCUUUCCUCAGUGACUCUGGCGAGUCUACUUCUCUAGCAGUAGCUUUGCAGUAGUAUUCUCUGCUUGCUUUAGGGCUGGAUUGGACUACAGGGACUAUUUUGAGGUAAAAGACUGCAUCCUUUCUACAUUUUUUUGUUUGAUAGCAUAAAUGCUUAUUUUUUUUAAAUCCACAACCAGUCUUUUUUUCAUCUGUGAUAUAGAAAGAAUUAGCUGAAAGGACAAAGGAGCAAACCCCCAGAAAAAGAAAGGAGAAACCUCCUCCCUCCAUUACAACUGA